CUACGGGGGGCAGCAGUGGGGAAUAUUGGACAAUGGGGGAAACCCUGAUCCAGCAAUGCCGCGUGUGUGAAGAAGGCCUUAGGGUUGUAAAGCACUUUCAGUAGUGAGGAAAAGUUUAAGGCUAAUACCCUUGAACCCUGACGUUAACUACAGAAGAAGCACCGGCUAACUUCGUGCCAGCAGCCGCGGUAAUACGAAGGGUGCAAGCGUUAAUCGGAUUUACUGGGCGUAAAGCGCGCGUAGGCGGUUUGAUAAGUCGGAUGUGAAAGCCCCGGGCUCAACCUGGGAAUUGCAUCCGAUACUGUCAGGCUAGAGUAUGGUAGAGGGAGGUGGAAUUCCACAUGUAGCGGUGAAAUGCGUAGAUAUGUGGAGGAACACCAGUGGCGAAGGCGACUUCCUGGACCAAUACUGACGCUGAGGUGCGAAAGCGUGGGGAGCAAACAGGAUUAGAUACCCGUGUAGUC
This 464-nucleotide ribosomal RNA is filed under the name uncultured bacterium. RNAcentral's name for it is "partial 16S ribosomal RNA". It matches the Rfam family "Bacterial small subunit ribosomal RNA", at positions 339 to 795 of the family's 1533-position model. The record is from RNAcentral.